CCUGGCUCAGGAUGAACGCUGGCGGCGUGCCUAAUACAUGCAAGUCGAACGGGGGCAGUAGCGAUACUGUCCUAGUGGCGAACGGGUGAGUAACGCGUUGGUGACCUGCCCCAGAGAGGGGGAUAACAGACCGAAAGGUCUGCUAAUACCGCAUAAGUUCUCAGCAGUUAGAGGGGUUGAGAAGAAAGCCGAAAGGCGCUCUGGGAGGGGCCUGCGUCCCAUCAGCUAGUUGGUAGGGUAACGGCCUACCAAGGCGAAGACGGGUAGGGGACCUGAGAGGGUGGCCCCCCACAAUGGAACUGAAACACGGUCCAUACACCUACGGGUGGCAGCAGUAGGGGAUAUUGGUAAAUGGGCGAAAGCCUGACCCAGCAACGCCGCGUGCGCGAAGAAGGCCUUCGGGUUGUAAAGCGCUUUUCUGAGGGAUGAGGAAGGACAGUACCUGAGGAAUAAGUCUCGGCUAACUACGUGCCAGCAGCCGCGGUAAGACGUAGGAGACGAGCGUUAUCCGGAUUUACUGGGCGUAAAGCGCGUGCAGGCGGCUCGUUAAGUUGGAUGUGAAAGCCCCUGGCUAAACUAGGGGAGGUCGUUCAAGACUGGCGGGCUAGAGUGCAGCAGAGGAGAGUGGAAUUCCGAGUGUAGCGGUAAAAUGCACAGAUAUUCGGAAGAACACCAGAGGCGAAGGCGGCUCUCUGGGCUGCAACUGACGCUCAGACGCGAAAGCUAGGGGAGCGAACGGGAUUAGAGACCCCGGUAGUCCUAGCCGUAAACGAUGUGGACUUGGCGUGGGUAGGGUAAAGCCUGUCCGUGCCGAAGCAAACGCGAUAAGUCCACCGCCUGGGGACUACGGCCGCAA
Molecule: ribosomal RNA, 856 nt
Filed under: uncultured bacterium
Lineage: Bacteria
Description: bacterial SSU rRNA
Rfam family: Bacterial small subunit ribosomal RNA
Source: RNAcentral